RNAcentral lists this ribosomal RNA (200 nucleotides) under uncultured bacterium. RNAcentral's name for it is "partial 16S ribosomal RNA". It matches the Rfam family "Bacterial small subunit ribosomal RNA", at positions 8 to 215 of the family's 1533-position model. The record is from RNAcentral.
AGAGUUUGAUCCUGGCUCAGGACGAACGCUGGCGGCGUGCCUAAUACAUGCAAGUCGAGCGGUCCCUUCGGGGAUAGCGGCGGACGGGUGAGUAACACGUAGGCAACCUGCCUGUAAGACUGGGAUAACCUCCGGAAACGGAUGCUAAUACCAGAUACGCGAUUCUGCUGCAUGGCGGAAUCGGGAAAGACGGUGCAAGC